This is a non-coding RNA of Erwinia sp., 845 nucleotides long. It matches the Rfam family "antisense RNA of rseC mRNA". Lineage: Bacteria; Pseudomonadati; Pseudomonadota; Gammaproteobacteria; Enterobacterales; Erwiniaceae. The record is from Rfam.
ACCUGAGAGGCCAUUUCACGUUCGGUCAAACCACCGCAAAUUUGAAUCAGGCGAUCGGAAAGUGUGGAUUUGCCGUGAUCGAUAUGGGCGAUGAUGGAAAAAUUUCUUAUAUGCUUCAUUUAUAUGAAUAUCUUCGCGUAUAAAAUCAGUUGAGCAUCUGAGCCAGACGCAUCUGCGGAGAAUGUAUAUCUCCCGCUAUCCUGUCAGCCUCGUUAAUGACGACGCAUAUUACACUGUUAGCGUCCGUCACGAAAGAAAGUAACUUGUCUGUGUACAAGAGAUUACGGCAGGUAAGAUGAAAAAAGGCUGUUCGACAGCCAGCCUGGCAAGGGAAUCGCUAAAGAUCACACUUUGCUUUCCACGCGCAGCGCAUCCGGCGGCAACGCUAUGGACAGAAUAACGGGUUGAAACGCCUCGCGGUGUCCCAACCGUAAUGACAACCCUUUGGCAACGAUAAAGCCCGCCACGCCGCCAAGCAGCGCACCGGUUGCGGCCGCCAGAUCGCUGCCAAACAGCAUCUGGAACAGGCCCGCCACGGCAAAAAGGCCGACCAGCGGCGUCAUAUAGACCAGCAGUGCCGAACUUAACAAACUGCUUUCCCGAAUGCCAAUCUCAAUCCGUUGGCCAGGUGAAAGUGGCUUUUCACUGUUAAUUUGCAUCACGUGCGCGUUUUUUGGCCCUAACUUAUUCAGCAUGGCGCUGCCGCAGCCUUUACGCGCUGAGCAGCUGUUGCAGGUUGUUUUAGCUUCGGUGUGCAGCGUGGCGAUGCCGUCAUGCCAGGCGACAACGGUGGCCCAUUCUCUCAUCAUUGUGGCGUACCUAAGUUGAUGCUGUCAGCAAUACGU